RNAcentral lists this ribosomal RNA (468 nucleotides) under uncultured bacterium. RNAcentral's name for it is "partial 16S ribosomal RNA". It matches the Rfam family "Bacterial small subunit ribosomal RNA", at positions 28 to 507 of the family's 1533-position model. The record is from RNAcentral.
GACGAACGCUGGCGGCGUGCUUAACACAUGCAAGUCGAACGGAAAGGCCCUGCUUUUGUGGGGUGCUCGAGUGGCGAACGGGUGAGUAACACGUGAGUAACCUGCCCUUGACUUUGGGAUAACUUCAGGAAACUGGGGCUAAUACCGGAUAGGAGCUCCUGCUGCAUGGUGUGGGUUGGAAAGUUUCGGCGGUUGGGGAUGGACUCGCGGCUUAUCAGCUUGUUGGUGGGGUAGUGGCUUACCAAGGCUUUGACGGGUAGCCGGCCUGGGAGGGUGACCGGCCACAUUGGGACUGAGAUACGGCCCAGACUCCUACGGGAGGCAGCAGUGGGGAAUAUUGCACAAUGGGCGGAAGCCUGAUGCAGCAACGCCGCGUGCGGGAUGACGGCCUUCGGGUUGUAAACCGCUUUCGCCUGUGACGAAGCGUGAGUGACGGUAAUGGGUAAAGAAGCACCGGCUAACUACGUG